CCUACGGGUGGCAGCAGUGGGGAAUAUUGGGCAAUGGGCGCAAGCCUGAUCCAGCGACGCCGCGUGAAUGAAGAAGGCUCUCGGGUUUUAAACCUCUUUUAGCAGGGACGAAAGAAAUGACGGUACCUGACGAAUAAGCCCCGGCUAACUACGUGCCAGCAGCCGCGGUAAUACGUAGGGGGCAAGCGUUAUCCGGAUUUACUGGGUGUAAAGGGUGCGUAGACGGGAAUGCAAGUCUGAGGUGAAAUUCGAGGGCCCAACCCCUGGACUGCUUUGGAAACUGUGUUACUGGAGUAGAGGAGGGGCAGGCGGAAUUCGUGGUGUAGCGGUGAAAUGCGUAGAGAUCAGGAGGAACACCAGCGGCGAAGGCGACUCACUGGACUGUAACUGACGCUGAGGCACGAAAGCGUGGGGAGCAAACAGGAUUAGAUACCCGUGUAGUC
Molecule: ribosomal RNA, 443 nt
Filed under: uncultured bacterium
Lineage: Bacteria
Description: partial 16S ribosomal RNA
Rfam family: Bacterial small subunit ribosomal RNA
Source: RNAcentral